Molecule: ribosomal RNA, 830 nt
Filed under: uncultured bacterium
Lineage: Bacteria
Description: bacterial SSU rRNA
Rfam family: Bacterial small subunit ribosomal RNA
Source: RNAcentral
CAUGCAAGUCGAACGGCAGCAUGAUCUAGCUUGCUAGAUUGAUGGCGAGUGGCGAACGGGUGAGUAAUACAUCGGAACGUGCCCUGUAGUGGGGGAUAACUAGUCGAAAGAUUAGCUAAUACCGCAUACGACCUGAGGGUGAAAGUGGGGGACCGCAAGGCCUCAUGCUAUAGGAGCGGCCGAUGUCUGAUUAGCUAGUUGGUGAGGUAAAGGCUCACCAAGGCGACGAUCAGUAGCUGGUCUGAGAGGACGAUCAGCCACACUGGGACUGAGACACGGCCCAGACUCCUACGGGAGGCAGCAGUGGGGAAUUUCGGACAAUGGGGGCAACCCUGAUCCAGCAAUGCCGCGUGUGUGAAGAAGGCCUUCGGGUUGUAAAGCACUUUUGUCCGGAAAGAAAUCGCACUUACUAAUAUUAGGUGUGGAUGACGGUACCGGAAGAAUAAGGACCGGCUAACUACGUGCCAGCAGCCGCGGUAAUACGUAGGGUCCAAGCGUUAAUCGGAGUUACUGGGCGUAAAGCGUGCGCAGGCGGUUGUGCAAGACCGAUGUGAAAUCCCCGGGCUUAACCUGGGAAUUGCAUUGGUGACUGCACGGCUAGAGUGUGUCAGAGGGGGGUAGAAUUCCACGUGUAGCAGUGAAAUGCGUAGAGAUGUGGAGGAAUACCGAUGGCGAAGGCAGCCCCCUGGGAUAACACUGACGCUCAUGCACGAAAGCGUGGGGAGCAAACAGGAUUAGAUACCCUGGUAGUCCACGCCCUAAACGAUGUCAACUAGUUGUUGGGGAUUCAUUUCCUUAGUAACGUAGCUAACGCGUGAAGUUGACCGCCU